This 123-nucleotide small RNA is filed under the name Marmota monax (woodchuck). Lineage: Eukaryota; Metazoa; Chordata; Mammalia; Rodentia; Sciuridae. The record is from RNAcentral.
GCUGGGCGUGGUGGUGCAUGCCUGUAAUCCCAGCAGCUCUGGAGGCUGAAGCAGGAGGAUAGCAAGUUCAAGCAGUCUCAGCAAAAGCAAGGCGGCAAGCAACUCAGUGAGACCCUGUCUCUA